RNAcentral lists this ribosomal RNA (406 nucleotides) under uncultured bacterium. RNAcentral's name for it is "partial 16S ribosomal RNA". It matches the Rfam family "Bacterial small subunit ribosomal RNA", at positions 30 to 526 of the family's 1533-position model. The record is from RNAcentral.
AUUGAACGCUGGCGGCAGGCCUAACACAUGCAAGUCGAACGAGUGGCGGACGGGUGAGUAAUGUCUGGGAAACUGCCUGAUGGAUGGGGAUAACUACUGGAAACGGUAGCUAAUACCGCAUACCAUCGGAUGUGCCCAGAUGGGAUUAGCUAGUAGUUGGGGUAAAGGCUCACCUAGGCGACGAUCCCUAGCUGGUCUGAGAGGAUGACCAGCAAAACUGGAACUGAGAAACGGUCCAGGCUCCUCCGGGAGGCAGCAGUGGGGAAUAUUGCACAAUGGGCGCAAGCCUGAUGCAGCCAUGGGGCGUGUGUGAAGAAGGCCUUCGGGUUGUAAAGCACUUUCAGCGAGGAGGAGUUACUCGCAGAAGAAGCACCGGCUAACUCCGUGCCAGCAGCGGCGGUAAUUC